AAAUGUGCUCUUUUAAUAUUUCUCCAGUAAGGUUUCUUAAGGAGAAAGCCCCC
This 53-nucleotide small nuclear RNA is filed under the name Oncorhynchus mykiss (rainbow trout). Its description in RNAcentral is "U7 small nuclear RNA (ENSOMYG00000047712.2)". It matches the Rfam family "U7 small nuclear RNA". From Rfam's summary of the family: Animal histone pre-mRNAs are spliced by a different mechanism than nuclear pre-mRNAs and self-splicing introns. This processing involves the U7 snRNP, which contains only one RNA species: U7. Lineage: Eukaryota; Metazoa; Chordata; Actinopteri; Salmoniformes; Salmonidae. The record is from Rfam by way of RNAcentral.